This 433-nucleotide ribosomal RNA is filed under the name uncultured bacterium. RNAcentral describes it as "partial 16S ribosomal RNA". It matches the Rfam family "Bacterial small subunit ribosomal RNA", at positions 29 to 507 of the family's 1533-position model. The record is from RNAcentral.
AACGAACGCUGGCAGCAUGCCUAACACAUGCAAGUCGAACGAGACCUUCGGGUCUAGUGGCGCACGGGUGCGUAACGCGUGGGAACCUGCCCUUAGGUUCGGAAUAACUCCCCGAAAGGGGUGCUAAUACCGGAUAAUGUCUUCGGACCAAAGAUUUAUCGCCUUUGGAUGGGCCCGCGUUGGAUUAGCUAGUUGGUAGGGUAAAAGCCUACCAAGGCGACGAUCCAUAGCUGGUCUGAGAGGAUGAUCAGCCACACUGGGACUGAGACACGGCCCAGACUCCUACGGGAGGCAGCAGUGGGGAAUAUUGGACAAUGGGCGAAAGCCUGAUCCAGCAAUGCCGCGUGAGUAAUGAAGGCCUUAGGGUUGUAAAGCUCUUUUACCCGGGAUGAUAAUGACAGUACCGGGAGAAUAAGCUCCGGCUAACUCCGUG